RNAcentral lists this ribosomal RNA (99 nucleotides) under uncultured bacterium. RNAcentral describes it as "partial 16S ribosomal RNA". It matches the Rfam family "Bacterial small subunit ribosomal RNA", at positions 1384 to 1482 of the family's 1533-position model. The record is from RNAcentral.
UACACACCGCCCGUCACACCAUGGGAGCGGGUUCUGCCAGAAGUAGUUAGCCUAACCGCAAGGAGGGCGAUUACCACGGCAGAGUUCGUGACUGGGGUG